GUGUGUGUGUGUGUGUGUGGAAAAUGUCAGAAAGGCCAGAAUAAUUUAAUACCCCAAGCUAUGGACCUGGGCUAGCAUUUAUUUGUCUGGGUCUCUACCAAGUCUCCACAAAUGGGCCAGUACUUGAAGCUUCUCCAGCCUCCGUUACUGUCAGAGGAACAGGGGAUGCCAUGAGCAGUGGCCCCAGAGACUCUCAAUGCAAAGGACCGAGAGCCCCUCCCAGCCCUACAAAGAGCACACAGGAGAAGACGCUCCUAGAAAGUUCCUGUAGCUGCUGCUUCUCUGCAGGGCCCAGGUUCAAGUUUUCUCUGGCAACCUGGUCUGUCACAAUGCUGCAGGACCUCAGACGAGGUAGAAGAAGGCUCAAGAGGAUGGACGGGGUGAGGUACUGAGAAGAGGGCCGCCAUCUACCUUGGGCUUCCGAGAGGCAGCGGAGAGACUGUUCCAGAGUGGAAAAGUAGGCCACAACAAACAGCCUGCUUCUAUCUUCACACUCGCUGUACCACUAACUGGCCCAAGGACAACAAAGAGAGAGUUAUUUAUGUGGCUGUCCCCAAGUAACCAAGAUACGGGCAGUGCCACUGUAAAGCCAUAUGUGCUUCCUCCUUCCUUGGAGUAAAGCAAACCUUAAUUAGGCCAGGAACAUGUGAAGAGCUAUAAUUAAGCGCAGCAAGCAGCCUUCUUCUCUCCUUGGGAGACAGCUCAGCAGCCAAUGCAGGUUUUGUGCAUCUUUUCAUCUUAAGAGAACAUAGCUGUGCAUCACAGUGAGGUCCUGGGGACGCAGCUCAGGGAGCUGAUGACGUCAGUGGUGAGAACUGACUGCUAACCACAAAUGAAGGAGAACCUUCACCAUAGUACUUUCUGGAUCGCUACCAAAGCCUUCCAGAAACAAGGUCAUCAAAAACACUUGAGUCUGAUUGGAAAAGCUCUAUCCUCAUGGUCCGAUCACCCCGUCACAUCACCCCAAAGCCCUAAAACGACAGAAGGGCUGGCUGGUUUUGGUCAUAAGAGGUAGAUAAGUUAUGUGGACAUCAUGCCCUGAACAGAGACAAACCAAAGGCAAUGAAAACAGACUCCGAUGCGAUGCUUAAAGACAACGGCAUCCCAGAUGAGGAAUGUUCCAAAGAGCCAUUAAGACAUUUCACAGAUUUGCUGGCCUGUGUAUGUUUUUAUAUCUGGUAGAAGUGAGCACUUUAAGUGAGGAAACAGAGACAAAGAAAAGGCCUGGCUAAGCCCAAGCAUGUGUCACACAGCAGUUCUAGGCUCUGCUGCCUACCAUGCCUGUUUCUGAAUUGUUGGCAAGUCUUUUCAGGAAGGAUGCUGAGAAAAAGACCUUUACCUGUAGCGAUCUCCUUGUCUGACUUACAGCCAACCAUAAGCUAUUCCGAAGUGAAAAGCACCCACCUCCCCUACAGUGUAAGGCCACUUUGGAACGAGGAAGGCACCUCCCUUGCUUAAGUCAUAAGGACCGCUCCCGCACACUUGACAAAACUCUAGCACAGAGCAAACAGGCUAACCUGAAACAGGUAUGCCUGGAAUCCUAAGUACUGGCCCCUUCCCUCUUGUGCUGAAGGUUUUUUGUUUUGUUUUUACUGUUAAUACUUCCUCCACAGAAAGGGACAGGGACAUUGAGAAGGGGACCAUUAAAUGAGGACACGACAGGUGCACGACAUUUAGUAGGUACCAUGUAAGUCUGAUAUUGUAGCUAAAACUCUGGCAUUUCUGCUCCCAAUACUUGAGAAUCUACAACUGGGGCAAAACCAGGAGCCCCUGCCAGGGUCCUUUGCAUGAGUUUAAACUCUACAGCCAACCUACUGCAGCCUUGCUUUGCGAAGCCUGGCUUUAACUAAGAACCUGUAAGAUGGGGUGGUGGGUGGAGCUGCAGACCUUUUAGUCCCUGUCCUUGGGAGGCAGAGGCAGGAGGAUAUCUGUUCCAGGUCAACCAGGAACAUAGAGGUAUUCUAUCUCAAAGUGAGCCAGGAACACGGAGGUAUCUUGAGGGAGAGAGGGAAAGAGGGGGAGAGGGAGAGGGAGUAGGUGGGGGGGGGAGCUUGUGGUCUUCCCACAUCCUUCAUUACUUCAGUAGGAAGUUAAGUUCUCAGAGGUCUGAGGAGUCUGCAGAAUGAGAUCCGAGGCUUCCUCUUUGGCCAAGGUAUUCUUUCCCUUCCUCCCUCUGGAGGUGGGUGAGGGGUAGGGAGGGGGUGCUUGGACUGUACUCCCCACUUCUCCUCUCCACUGUGUGUAAUCCCCAAGAGGAGCUCCAGCCACACCAGGGGCAAAUGCUAUCUCCUUCAGAUCGCCCAGGGGAGUUCUUCUAAGCAAGGAACUUCAGUUGUGAGGGAACAAAGUAUCACCUAUUCUGGGCAAUGACCCAGGAAUGUCCAACCUACAACUGUGCACCCCAAGAUAGCUAUGAAACCCCAACAUAAAACCACAAACUUAAAAACGUUCAAACGUUCUCUCACUGCAGGGGUGGGGUGGGGGGUGUGGGGGUGGGGUAAUGAUGUCAAUAUUGUGAACUUUGUAGGUGACAAUGUCUUGUUACGAUGUCAAGAGGCUAGACACACCUAGCAGAGCUUGCCUACAAAUACUGGUCUCUCCAGUUGAGUCAACUUCUCUGCACCCUCCUUAAGCAGGAAGGCAAAGAGCAAAAACCCUUUCCAAAGUGUUCUAAAAACAAAAUACUUUCUCCAAAGCCCAUUUUCCCACAAGAACAUUAUCUAUUUUGGAAAGCCUGAACCAAAAGAAAAAGGAGACAGUUUGGAAUAUAAUCCUUCCAGAGGAGCUAACUGCUCUGGGGCUUGAGCAAGGCAGAGCCCAGAGGUACCGUGGGAGGCGCUUACCUACCCCUAAUUACAGAGGACAGGAGGCUCCGGCUCAGGGAGCAGCCUUUCAAAGGCCACAUCACCCAUCUUCCCAAUAAAACACCAUGAUUUUCAAAGCACAAUUCAAGAAAGCAGCAGUGUGAGCUCUUGGCAACCUGAACAAAGGCAGGAGCUGGCCAGGUGGAGCACACAUCCACACCACGCACACCCAACUCCACAGCACUCAGCGCCAACCAGGAAGGCCGAGCUUGUUUUGCCCUACCCCAUUCUUGUUCUUUAGAAGUCUGUGCUCAAGUUUUUCUAUAACCUCUCAGACGCUUGGGGGAAGACAGGCACAUCAACAUAACCCCAGAAAUGCUAAUAUGGGAUCCUUAUCUGGGACACUCAACAAACACUUCUGUUUUAAAGUAAAAAAAAAAAAAUUAGCAUAGGCUAAAUCAUUAUUUCAAAAGCAGGACCUCAGAGGGGCAGUCGCAGGGCUUUUUUUUUUUUUUUUAAGUUUUGUUCUGAGACAGGGUCUCAUUGUCUCAGGCUGACCCCACACUUGCUAGCUAGCCAAGGACAACUGCUAGGCCACGCAUACUUCUUCAUGCUCAGCUCUGAGUAUAAUCAGUUCCUUAAGAAGCCAAUUCAGGAGAUGAGGAGAUGGCUUUGCUGGUAAAGAGAGCUGCAUAAGCUCCAGGACCUGAGUUAGGAUCCCUGGAGCCCAUGAGCAAGCCAGGCAUAGCCGCAUGCGUAUGUAAACCCAGCACAGCAAGAGAGAAAUGGAUAAGUUCGGAUUUAUGCCAAACCAGGGCCUCGGAGGUCAGAGGCAGAACGGGAAAGGAGCAGACACAUCAAAACAGCUCCAGGUCGGAGCGGAGCAGCCGCCUGAGAGGGACACCGUGCGUAGCACAGUAACGAAGGAUCAGAAGCAGCUGGGGACAGGGAACGCGGGGCCAGCUGGUGCAGAAAUGGAGAAUAAGGGCAAGUCACUCCAGAACUUGAAGGCCCGGGUCAGGGAUGGAUGCUGCCACCCAGAAGGACCUCUCUGUGAACAAACCCUAAAGUAUGCCUCAUCAAUGCCCCAGAACCCAGGGCCUCGGUGCUUCCUAAUUCAAUCAAGCAAACUGAUGAUCAGAAUUCAUCAUCGCGGGCUCCUCACCAAGACAGACAGAUAUUUGGACAGACAGCGUCAGUAGUCAGGUGACACGCUCUCUGAGGGUGUAGCUUCCUGAGCUUCUGUCAGAGCAGCCGGAGUCACUAAGGGCUAACACCUAACUAAGUCACAGUACCUACAUCAACAAGGGAAGCCUCACACACCCGAUACUGUCAAACUAAUGCAUCUCACAUCUCAAAUACACUGAAAACCCAGGAUUGCCUGGCCUUUGCCGGGAGAUAAACCUAAGGUCAAUGAGGUAUCUACACACACAGCCUCCUUUCCCUACCUAAGGCACCAACUAUAAAUAUACCUGUACUCCCGUUACAUUUUGGCCUUGUGUCAUUUUCAGAAUUGCUUCAGUUGUUUUUACCCCGCUCCCUUCCUGCCUCUGCGGCUCCCCUCCUUUCCUGGUCCCCCUCGUUUAAGAAGACUUCUGUGUUUCCUUUUUGUGGCCAUUACUUUUCCUUGUAUUGAUUCAGAACAUGUCAAGGCAUAUCUGUAGUUAAUAAACCAAAAUACCAAUGACUAUA
Long non-coding RNA from Mus musculus (house mouse), 4496 nucleotides. RefSeq annotates it as predicted gene, 34771. The transcript has 3 exons. NCBI's taxonomy places the organism in Eukaryota, Metazoa, Chordata, Mammalia, Rodentia, Muridae. The record is from RefSeq and is a predicted model, not a curated record.